This 322-nucleotide ribosomal RNA is filed under the name uncultured eukaryote. RNAcentral's name for it is "partial 18S ribosomal RNA". It matches the Rfam family "Eukaryotic small subunit ribosomal RNA", at positions 1470 to 1796 of the family's 1831-position model. The record is from RNAcentral.
CCCUUAGAUGUUCUGGGCCGCACGCGUGCUACACUGAGUGGAUCAGCGGGUCAGGUUGCGCGAAAGUGUUUCCUAAUCUUGAAAUCCGCUCGUGAUGGGGAUUGACGGUUGCAAUUUUCCGUCAUGAACGAGGAAUACCUUGUAAGCGCGGGUCAUCAUCCCGCGCUGAAUACGUCCCUGCCCUUUGUACACACCGCCCGUCGCUCCUACCGAUUGAGUGGUCCGGUGAGGCUUUGGGAUCCGAGCAAAGAGAGCGUUUCGCUCGUUUUGCCCGGAAAACUCAGUCGAACCUUAUCAUUUAGAGGAAGGAGAAGUCGUAACA